AAGUAGCACAGCAAAAGAAAAGGAAUUUUCAGUUUAACUAGAGCACUGACAUUCUGUUACACAAUUCGAUCUUGUCUAUUUACCGGCUCUUAAAAACCAGAAGACACUAAACAACAACAACAACAACAAAAACAAAAACAAAAAAAAAGGGGGGGGGGGGGAGCAAGCUGAAUGCAUCCAGCCGGCAGUGCCAUAGGUGUCUGAAUGCAUCUGUAGCUUCCCUCUCACUCAUCAGUGUAAUUGUUGUCAUGUUAUUCCAUUUUUUGAUUAGGCUGGUCCGCCAAGCUCCCAGCUUUUCCUGGCCAAACGUUCUUCUGCUGGUUGUCAUGGUGACUGCAUUGUUCCCGGGGAGAAAGGCUCUGUUGUCUGGCAUUGUUCUGUUGUGCUUUAGGUAAUGCACGAGGCAUCACAAGUGAAGUGGAUGGACCUUUUUUGCUCGGCAUCAUUGCCGAGUAUUGAAAAUCUCACAUAAAAAAGGAGCAAAUAGGCCCUGACCAAAGAAAUAACCAAGUUCUUUUUUUAUUCUCUCUUUUUUUUUUUUUAAAGAAAGCACGCAUUAUUAUAAAGAGACUGUUUGUUGAGCCCAGCAGGGCUGGGUCCAUCCCACACCAUGUGUGCCUCCUGUACUGGGGACUGCUGGUGGUACACACUUGGCACCCUAGAGAAGAUUUUGCCUCUUAGCAGGACUUACUAGGUCAAGCCACAGUGACACAGCUACUGCGGCUCUGCAGUUGCCAGACCAGGAUUGUCUUACACCUCUUUGACUUGAAGUGCACAAAAAGUGAUGUGUAACUCUUUACACCUUCCAGGUAGGUGGUGAGCAGUUGGUUCCCAUGCAAUUGCUGAAGCCUGAAAGGUGAUUUCAGACAUCACUGCCCAUAUUUCAACUCUCAGACACAUGGGUCAACAUCAGAAUUUCUAAAAUCUCUCCU
Pezoporus flaviventris is the source of this 932-nucleotide long non-coding RNA. RefSeq lists it as uncharacterized. The record is from RefSeq and is a predicted model, not a curated record. NCBI's taxonomy places the organism in Eukaryota, Metazoa, Chordata, Aves, Psittaciformes, Psittacidae. The transcript is spliced from 3 exons.